Micropterus dolomieu (smallmouth bass) is the source of this 672-nucleotide long non-coding RNA. RefSeq lists it as uncharacterized. The transcript has 3 exons. The record is from RefSeq and is a predicted model, not a curated record. Lineage: Eukaryota; Metazoa; Chordata; Actinopteri; Centrarchiformes; Centrarchidae.
CUCAGUGCGGGGAGUGCAGCUGGAUGAGACACACUUGCUAGAGCCUGUACUGGGGGAUCGUCUGUCUGUCUGCUGACCUGUAAGCUGCUUCAUCAUUAAUAUCUGGCGGGAGCUGAGCCAUAUUGUGGGACCAAGACCAACUUCAGGAUUCCAACCUGUAAAACUGACAAGCACAACUGCUGUCACCACUGUCACUGCCCACCACCACCCUCCUCACCUGGCUUCCCCCACCACCUCCACCCUCACCUGUCUAACUUCACCAACAUUACUUCUCCAAUGCUGACAUCCCCACCCAGAACACCUACAGUGAGAAAUUGUUUUGUGAAGAUUCUUGGUUGAAUGUUCAGCCAAUUUUAUAAAGUUUUGAUUAGUUGUUACUUGUUAUUUAUUCUGAUGAUUUUUAUGGAGAAUGUCAUGUUUAGCAUGUGGUCAAGAUGGUUGAUGACCCAUAUGUUUUACUAGUUUCAUUAUUUUGUUAUCUUCAACCUGGCUUUUCUAGUCUCUUUGGCUAGUUAUAGGAAAAUAUUUCCAGAGAACCCCAUUUUAUACAUUGAUUACAGACUGCCUAUGACAUUGUUAGACUAUCAGUUUCAAAACAGAUCUCUUUCUCUCUAUAUAUGUGUUAUUAUGACUGUUUUGUUCUACUUGUGCAAUAAACAAUCUUUUUGUGCA